RNAcentral lists this ribosomal RNA (1765 nucleotides) under Salmonella enterica subsp. enterica serovar Bovismorbificans. Its description in RNAcentral is "partial 23S ribosomal RNA". It matches the Rfam family "Bacterial large subunit ribosomal RNA", at positions 1193 to 2925 of the family's 2925-position model. The record is from RNAcentral. Lineage: Bacteria; Pseudomonadati; Pseudomonadota; Gammaproteobacteria; Enterobacterales; Enterobacteriaceae.
ACCGAAGCUGCGGCAGCGACACUGUGCGUUGUUGGGUAGGGGAGCGUUCUGUAAGCCUGCGAAGGUGGCCUGUGAGGGUUGCUGGAGGUAUCAGAAGUGCGAAUGCUGACAUAAGUAACGAUAAAGCGGGUGAAAAGCCCGCUCGCCGGAAGACCAAGGGUUCCUGUCCAACGUUAAUCGGGGCAGGGUGAGUCGACCCCUAAGGCGAGGCCGAAAGGCGUAGUCGAUGGGAAACGGGUUAAUAUUCCCGUACUUGGUGUUACUGCGAAGGGGGGACGGAGAAGGCUAUGUUGGCCGGGCGACGGUUGUCCCGGUUUAAGCGUGUAGGCUGGUUUUCCAGGCAAAUCCGGAAAAUCAAGGCUGAGGCGUGACGACGAGGCACUACGGUGCUGAAGCAACAAAUGCCCUGCUUCCAGGAAAAGCCUCUAAGCAUCAGGUAACAUCAAAUCGUACCCCAAACCGACACAGGUGGUCAGGUAGAGAAUACCAAGGCGCUUGAGAGAACUCGGGUGAAGGAACUAGGCAAAAUGGUGCCGUAACUUCGGGAGAAGGCACGCUGACAUGUAGGUGAAGUGAUUUACUCAUGGAGCUGAAGUCAGUCGAAGAUACCAGCUGGCUGCAACUGUUUAUUAAAAACACAGCACUGUGCAAACACGAAAGUGGACGUAUACGGUGUGACGCCUGCCCGGUGCCGGAAGGUUAAUUGAUGGGGUCAGCGCAAGCGAAGCUCCUGAUCGAAGCCCCGGUAAACGGCGGCCGUAACUAUAACGGUCCUAAGGUAGCGAAAUUCCUUGUCGGGUAAGUUCCGACCUGCACGAAUGGCGUAAUGAUGGCCAGGCUGUCUCCACCCGAGACUCAGUGAAAUUGAACUCGCUGUGAAGAUGCAGUGUACCCGCGGCAAGACGGAAAGACCCCGUGAACCUUUACUAUAGCUUGACACUGAACAUUGAGCCUUGAUGUGUAGGAUAGGUGGGAGGCUUUGAAGUGUGGACGCCAGUCUGCAUGGAGCCGGCCUUGAAAUACCACCCUUUAAUGUUUGAUGUUCUAACGUGGACCCGUAAUCCGGGUUGCGGACAGUGUCUGGUGGGUAGUUUGACUGGGGCGGUCUCCUCCUAAAGAGUAACGGAGGAGCACGAAGGUUGGCUAAUCCUGGUCGGACAUCAGGAGGUUAGUGCAAUGGCAUAAGCCAGCUUGACUGCGAGCGUGACGGCGCGAGCAGGUGCGAAAGCAGGUCAUAGUGAUCCGGUGGUUCUGAAUGGAAGGGCCAUCGCUCAACGGAUAAAAGGUACUCCGGGGAUAACAGGCUGAUACCGCCCAAGAGUUCAUAUCGACGGCGGUGUUUGGCACCUCGAUGUCGGCUCAUCACAUCCUGGGGCUGAAGUAGGUCCCAAGGGUAUGGCUGUUCGCCAUUUAAAGUGGUACGCGAGCUGGGUUUAGAACGUCGUGAGACAGUUCGGUCCCUAUCUGCCGUGGGCGCUGGAGAACUGAGGGGGGCUGCUCCUAGUACGAGAGGACCGGAGUGGACGCAUCACUGGUGUUCGGGUUGUCAUGCCAAUGGCACUGCCCGGUAGCUAAAUGCGGAAGAGAUAAGUGCUGAAAGCAUCUAAGCACGAAACUUGCCCCGAGAUGAGUUCUCCCUGAGACUUUAGGUCUCCUGAAGGAACGUUGAAGACGACGACGUUGAUAGGCCGGGUGUGUAAGCGCAGCGAUGCGUUGAGCUAACCGGUACUAAUGAACCGUGAGGCUUAACCUUACAACGCCGAAG